This 119-nucleotide ribosomal RNA is filed under the name Diaphorina citri (Asian citrus psyllid). The record is from RNAcentral. Lineage: Eukaryota; Metazoa; Arthropoda; Insecta; Hemiptera; Psyllidae.
GUUAGCAGCGAUAGCACCUUCAAUACAUCAGUUAACAAUGUAUCGCUGAAGUUAAGCAACGUUCCGCAUGGUUGGUAUCCGGUUGGGUGACCAUCUGGGCAAUCACGUCCUGGCUUUUC